UCGGGUUGUAAAGCACUUUUGUCCGGAAAGAAAACCUUCGCUCGAAUACAGUGGGGGGAUGACGGUACCGGAAGAAUAAGCACCGGCUAACUACGUGCCAGCAGCGCGGUAAUCGUAGGGUGCGAGCGUUAAUCGGAAUUACUGGGCGUAAAGCGUGCGCAGGCGGUUCGUUAAGACAGAUGUGAAAUCCCCGGGCUUAACCUGGGAACUGCAUUUGUGACUGGCGAGCUAGAGUAUGGCAGAGGGGGGUAGAAUUCCACGUGUAGCAGUGAAAUGCGUAGAGAUGUGGAGGAAUACCGAUGGCGAAGGCAGCCCCCUGGGCCAAUACUGACGCUCAUGCACGAAAGCGUGGGGAGCAAACAGGAUUAGAUACCCUGGUAGUCCACGCCCUAAACGAUGUCAACUAGUUGUUGGGAAUUCAUUUCCUUAGUAACGUAGCUAACGCGUGAAGUUGACCGCCUGGGGAGUACGGUCGCAAGAUUAAAACUCAAAGGAAUUGACGGGGACCCGCACAAGCGGUGGAUGAUGUGGAUUAAUUCGAUGCAACGCGAAAAACCUUACCUACCCUUGACAUGGUCGGAACCCUGCUG
RNAcentral lists this ribosomal RNA (590 nucleotides) under uncultured Burkholderia sp. RNAcentral's name for it is "bacterial SSU rRNA". It matches the Rfam family "Bacterial small subunit ribosomal RNA", at positions 418 to 1003 of the family's 1533-position model. Lineage: Bacteria; Pseudomonadati; Pseudomonadota; Betaproteobacteria; Burkholderiales; Burkholderiaceae. The record is from RNAcentral.